AGCGCUUGCGGCGGACCCGGCAUCGACCUUUAUCAUGACUUCGCAGGCAGUCGGUCCAUGUACGGCCCGGUACAUUACACCGAGGUGUAAUUUAAUAUUUUC
This 102-nucleotide small RNA is filed under the name bovine gut metagenome. Its description in RNAcentral is "RT-5 RNA". It matches the Rfam family "RT-5 RNA". Rfam says of the family: Clostridium (Firmicutes). Environment (Cow rumen (57)) The record is from RNAcentral.